Long non-coding RNA from Amphiprion ocellaris (clown anemonefish), 2594 nucleotides. RefSeq lists it as uncharacterized. The transcript has 3 exons. Lineage: Eukaryota; Metazoa; Chordata; Actinopteri; Pomacentridae. The record is from RefSeq and is a predicted model, not a curated record.
CGUAGAAACUUUGUUCAGGAAAAUUUCUCAGUAGCUCAGAGGACAGGCUGCUUUUUACACAACCUUGUAAGAGAAUGUCUGUCAAUGCUUUCAGCAGAAUUUAGAAACACAACACUUCCUAAACAGAUAUUUUGAGGCUGUGAGGUUGAACGUUUGAGAGUAUAUCUGUGUGUUUGUUUGUGGUCUUUCUGUUUCUAGGUGGAAGCUGAAUUAGUGAGGAUGACUCCUGCUCCUGUCAUCUCUAAGCUUCUCACACAUCUUUACCUGCACAUGAGGAAAAUCACUCCUGUAGAAUGCAGAUGUUCAGAGGGAGAUGAUGCCACAUCUGGUCCAGCUGAUGGAAGGUCUUGAAGUUCUCUGACUGGCCUCGACUGAAGAUGGUCGUCUCACUGGAUUUAAGGUUCAGAUGCUCAGUAACAAACUCCACCAAUGAGCCAACAGGGAAGCUUUAGGUUUAUUAAAUGUUGCUAUGAAGGUAUCGCUGUUUUUCUUUGUGAAUGCAAUGUGCUCCAACUGAAAGUUGAAUUAGAACUUAGAAGUAAAUCCUUCCAUCUGAAAGGAUUUAGUUGCAUUAAUAACCUCAUAACAUUCUAAUUUUUAUUCCAGUCUUGGUUGGAAAUAGAAUCUCUGUAUUGAUUCAGGUAAAAACUGAACUUCACACCAUGUUGAAGCAAAACAACCAGAUGAAAACUGUGAUGGUGUUGGAUUGUCAGACCGUAAUGUUGCAGCUCAAAGCAGCUUUUCUAGCUCAGUUCAUUCUGACAUUCAGCUAUGAAUCAACACAGCAGAUGGUGAUCCAUGCUGUGGAAGUCUCACAUCUCCUGAUUUAAUGGAGCUGCUUUGCACUUUUUACACUGUUUAUUCACCAACACUUUAUUUAAUAAAAGUCCCAUCUAGUUUUUAUGAGGAUUGUGAUGUUUUAAUUUCUCUGUGAAUAACUGCAGUCUAAUGGAACAGCUGGAGUUGUAACAUCUGUCCUGAUAUUGAUCAUGAAGUAUUUAUCAGAAUACUUAUGGUUAGCAGUCAUCCCUGAAGUUUUACAUUAAAAUCUUUACUUGUGUUGUGAACUUUGGUAAGAAGCAGAAACGUUAGUGUUGCCAUGGAUACAUGAGUGUUAAAUUCUGUCCAUGUUUCCAUUUUGGGAAAUGCAGUCCAGUUCCAGAAUGUGGAGGAAUUUAGUCUCACAAUCACAGACAACAAAUAUUAUCUGAAAGUCGAGUUAUUGUUGUUUAUCAGCACAAUACAAAAAGAUUAAUGUUAGAAAUAUUCCAGUUAAGACUCUAGAAUAUCAUGAUUUAUGUAAAUUUACCUCAAUAAUAUGAAUGUUCAGGUUAAGAUUGCACAGUGAUAUUUAUUAUGUAAGUUUAGCUGAUUAAAGUUUAUGACUCUGCACUACAAUAUUAUUUAAAUUGACAUCAUUAUUAUAAUUUAGGGUCAGACCCUACAGUAUUGAGAUUAAGAAAUCAAAUAUUCUAUAAAAUGUAAAUACACUGAACUCAUUUGGAUAUAUUUAAGUGAGACUCUACAAUAUUAUUUGACACAAAUCUAUCUAAAUCAAAAUUUUAAUAAUUUUCAUGCCAAACAUUUACUGGACUGAUUUAAAUAUUAAAAUCACUCCUUUCUAAUCCUCUGCUGUACUGUUCAAACCUGAGGCCUUAAAUAGAAACACACAAGUAUCUGUUUGAAGGAACUUCUGCAGAGUCCUGGUUCCAGAACAUGAUGAUAGAAUUAUAGACAAACUUUAACAAAAGCUGCCUGAGAGUUUACAGGUUUUUAUGUUAGAUUUCUUCAGUAAUUUAAUGAGAGUUAUCAGCAAAAAUCAAGUGUUCAUUUGAUGAACUUCAUUUCCUAAAACAUCCAGAAUUGGAGCUCAUAUCUUUGGCAGCUGUAAAGUUUCUGCUCCUUCAAAGUUCACAACACAAUGAAUGAAUUCCUAAAACACUCUCAAUGCUGGAGAGCAGUUUGAUGCUGAAGCAGUGACCAGUUUUUCUGUUUCUUCUCUGGAGAUGCACAAUGAGGGACGUCUGCAGAGACUGAGAAAGAGUCUCACCACAUCCUGACAUGAGGAAAAAGACUUUAUUGAAGACUACAAUGAGAAAAACUAUCAGACAGCAGACGGCUGCAUUCAAGAGAAGAAGACCAUCAAACAUCCACAUCAGCUGAUGGAGGUCCAAGAGUCUCACCAAACAACCAACCUACAGAGUGAAGACCUCAAAUCUGAUUGGACGGCGUCCUAUUCAGCCACACGUGUGAACAAAUGCCUCUAAGCUGAUUUAUUUUCUAAAAUAAAUCUAGUUUGAGUCCUAAUCUAUGCCUGUGUGUUUGCUUCUUUACACUGCUGUUAACAGUUUAGGCUGUUAGAUUGUUCCAGAUAAGACAAGUACAAGAUACUUCAGAGCCGUUCUACCACGAGCCUGACAGGAAGAACUCCAACAGCUACUGAAUGUUCCUGUGGUCCCCUCAAGGCUACAGGAGGAGCCCUACGAGGACGAGCCGGUCCACCUGAUGGAGGCCAGUCGCUGCGGUUCAAAGCCAACACCGACUACGUGGACUUCUACUGGACCACACGGAGGCCUUCAAACCGGACCAACAAG